UCCUUGUUUGAGUUUCAAGUUUUUCAUAAAACAGCAUUCAGUACAGCCAAUAUGAGCCGAGCUGAGUACCGCUACACAUCAGUCACUAAUGUCUGAAAAACUUGAAACUCAAACAAGGAGCUUUACAGCAAUGGAUUAAUGUGUAACGUUUACAGGUGUAAGGCAACGAAGUUGACAGAUGUGCAGCAAGUGGGCUCAGGCAGACCCAGACCAUAGA
Polypterus senegalus (gray bichir) is the source of this 217-nucleotide long non-coding RNA. RefSeq lists it as uncharacterized. The transcript has 4 exons. The record is from RefSeq and is a predicted model, not a curated record. NCBI's taxonomy places the organism in Eukaryota, Metazoa, Chordata, Cladistia, Polypteriformes, Polypteridae.